AGUCGUAACAAGGUUUCCGUAGGUGAACCUGCGGAAGGAUCAUUACCGAGUUCUGCGAUUUCGAUCGCAGCCUCCACCCUUGUUUUUUAUCAUGUUGCUUUGGCGGCUGGUGGACGUCUGCGCGCUGUGCCUUCAAGUACGGCGUGCGGGGGUCCGUGUGGUCGGGCGGCCUCGCACGUUUCGACCUGCCUACCUUUGCGGGUAGGUGGGCUUGGAACGUCGGGCGCUUGGUCCGGCUCUCACCGCCAGAGACCCAAACUCUGAAUCUAUUGCAGUCUGAGAAAAAACAAAUCAAUCAAAACUUUCAACAACGGAUCUCUUGGUUCUGGCAUCGAUGAAGAACGCAGCGAAAUGCGAUAAGUAAUGUGAAUUGCAGAAUUCAGUGAAUCAUCGAAUCUUUGAACGCACAUUGCGCCCUCCGGUACUCCGGGGGGCAUACCUGUUCGAGCGCCGUUGUACUACUAAGGCUCAGCCUUGCGGUGGCCGCUCCCUUUCUUUUCGAAAAAAGGGACGGCUCAAACUCGUGGGCGUCUUCGCACGACGAUCCAGCGUAGCAAGUCUCUCGCUGUAGUCAGUGUCGCUGUGUGAGGCGCCAGUUUCAACGAACGUUUGGCCUCGGAUCAGGUAGGGAUACCCGCUGAACUUAAGCAUAUCAAUAAGCGGAGGAAAAGAAACCAACAGGGAUUGCCUCAGUAACGGCGAGUGAAGCGGCAUCAGCUCAGAUUUGAAAUCUGGCCCGCAAGGGUCCGAGUUGUAAUCUGCAGAGGAACGUUCGGUCUCGGCGCCGGUCCAAGUCUCUUGGAACGGAGCGUCGUGGAGGGUGAGAACCCCGUACCCGGCCGGUGGCCGUGACCAUGUGAACGUCCUUCGACGAGUCGAGUUGUUUGGGAAUGCAGCUCAAAGCGGGUGGUAAAUUCCAUCUAAAGCUAAAUAUUGGCCAGAGACCGAUAGCGCACAAGUAGAGUGAUCGAAAGAUGAAAAGCACUUUGGAAAGAGAGUUAAACAGUACGUGAAAUUGUUGAAAGGGAAGCGCUUGCAACCAGACUUGGCCGCGGAGGCUCCCCCCGUCAUCUGGCGGGGUCACUCCUUCGCGGACAGGCCAGCAUCGGUUCGGGCGGCCGGAGAAAGGCGUGGGGAAUGUGGCUCUCCUUCGGGGGAGCGUUAUAGCCCUGCGCACAAUACGGCCGGCCGGGACCGAGGACCGCGCAUUCGCUAGGAUGCUGGCGUAAUGGUUGUCAGCGGCC
This 1244-nucleotide ribosomal RNA is filed under the name uncultured fungus. RNAcentral's name for it is "eukaryotic LSU rRNA". The stretch from base 611 to 1244 matches the Rfam family "Eukaryotic large subunit ribosomal RNA", at positions 1 to 649 of the family's 3401-position model. The record is from RNAcentral. Lineage: Eukaryota; Fungi.